Molecule: ribosomal RNA, 375 nt
Filed under: uncultured bacterium
Lineage: Bacteria
Description: partial 16S ribosomal RNA
Rfam family: Bacterial small subunit ribosomal RNA
Source: RNAcentral
UGGGGGAUAUUGCACAAUGGAGGAAACUCUGAUGCAGCAACGCCGCGUGAAGGAUGAAGGUCUUCGGAUUGUAAACUUUUGUACUUGGGGACGAUAAUGACGGUACCCAAGCAGCAAGCUCCGGCUAACUACGUGCCAGCAGCCGCGGUAAUACGUAGGGAGCAAGCGUUGUCCGGAUUUACUGGGUGUAAAGGGUGCGUAGGCGGCUAUGCAAGUCAGUUGUGAAACUAUGGGCUCAACCCAUAGCCUGCAAUUGAAACUGCGUGGCUUGAGUGAAGUAGAGGUAGGUGGAAUUCCCGGUGUAGCGGUGAAAUGCGUAGAGAUCGGGAGGAACACCAGUGGCGAAGGCGACCUACUGGGCUUUAACUGACGCUG